GACGAACGCUGGCGGCGUGCUUAACACAUGCAAGUCGAACGAUGAGGAAGAGCUUGCUCUUCGGAUUAGUGGCGAACGGGUGAGUAACACGUGACUAACCUGCCCCUUUCUCUGGGAUAACGCUCCGAAAGGAGUGCUAAUACCGGAUACUCACAUCGAGGCACAUGCCUUGAUGUGGAAAGUUUUUCGGAAAGGGAUGGAGUCGCGGCCCAUCAGCUUGUUGGUGAGGUAACGGCUAACCAAGGCGACGACGGGUAGCCGGCCUGAGAGGGGGACCGGCCAGACUGGGGCUGAGAACCGGCCCAGACUCCUACGGGAGGGAGCAGUGGGGAAUAUUGCACAAUGGGCGAAAGCCUGAUGCAGCGACGCAGCGUGAGGGAUGAAGGUCUUCGGAUUGUAAACCUCUUUCAGUAGGGACGAAGCGAAAGUGACGGUACCUAAAGAAGAAGCACCGGCUAACUACGUGCCAGCCGCCGCCGUAA
This 482-nucleotide ribosomal RNA is filed under the name uncultured bacterium. RNAcentral's name for it is "partial 16S ribosomal RNA". It matches the Rfam family "Bacterial small subunit ribosomal RNA", at positions 28 to 523 of the family's 1533-position model. The record is from RNAcentral.